GGCUCUGUGUUUGACAGCCAUCCUCCAGACCCAGAGGGACCACUCCUUUCCCUAGCUCUAGUGAUUCUCUAUACAAUCUCUCUCCUUAACAUUUUCCAUAAAUUCCUCAAAGUUUUUGGCCUGGUAAUACCAUCUUUCCUUGCUUUCCAGGUUGAUAUGGAGUCAUUUCACUGGAAUUUUAGGAAAGGGUGUAUAAUCAUUGCUCAAUAACCACAGUUAUCAGUGCAUUUAAAAUAUUCCUUCCUGGAAAUUCCCGUCAUGGCUCAGCAGAAACGAAUCUGACUAGUAAUUAUGAGGAUACAGGUUUGAUCCCUGGCUUCGCCGCUUGGUGGGUUAAGGAUCUGGUGUUGCCUUGAGCUGUGGUAUAGGUCGAAGACAUGGCUCGGGUGUGGUGUUGCUGCGCCUGUGGCGAAGGCCGGCAGCUACAACUCCGAUUUGACCCCUAGCCUGGGAACUUCCAUGUGCCAUGGGUAUGGCCCUAAAAGAAAAAGGUUAAAAAUAAAAUAAAAUAAAAUAUUCCUUUCUAGGAGUUCCCAUUGUGGAUCUGUAGGUUAAGGACCCAAUAUUGUCUCUGUGAGGAUACACGUUUGAUCCCUGGCCUUGCUCAGUAGGUUAAGGAUCUGUUGUUGCCACAAGCUACGGUGUAGUUCACAGAUGUGUCUCAGAUCUAGUGUUUCCAUGGCUGUGGCCUAGGCUUCAGCUGCAGCUAGGAUUCAACCCCUUGCCCAUAUGCCACAGGUGCGGCUGUAAAAAUAUAUAUACAUAUAUCCUACCUAUAUGCAGACACCACUGUGUGCCAGUAACUGGGCCAGGGCCUGACUAUGCUAAUUUAGUCUGCACAACAAUUUAAUUAAUUAGGUAUCUUUUUAAAAUUUUUUCAUUAAAGUAUAGUUGAUUUACAGUGUUGUGUCCAUUUCUGCUGUACAGCAGAUGGACCUAGUCUUACAUAUGUAUACAUUCUUUUUCUCUUGUUAUCUUCCAUCAUGUUCUGUCCCAAGAGAUUGGAUGUAGUUCCCUGUGCUGUGCAGUAGGGUGAACUAGGUUUCUUAUCCUUGUUUUUAUAGAUGAAAAAACUGAAACUCAAUAAGGUUAGUAAGUAAGUUUCUCAAGGGCGUGCAUUUAGCAGUGAACCCAGGUGCAAAUGCAUCCAGUUAUCACGUUGACAUGUAAAUUUCUGAUGAUACAGCGAUGCUCCAACAUGGGCCAUUUGAAUGAUGGCCAAGAGUAAUUCCAAGUUCUGGCUGUUUUUAUUUUCUUGACACAUGAAUUAAACAGAGAAUCAGCUUAGUGAUCUAAAUAAAGCUGACAGGAAACUCUGGAUCCCUCUCUGUUUUCAAGGACAUUAUUUCCUUCCUAUCCUUUUUCUUUCUAACAGCUGUAAGAGAGCAAUUUAAAAUGAAGUAGCUGCAGACGGUGUGAUUCCAUGUAGACUGUGUGGAGGAAAAAUAUAAUUAAAUUGAAAGGCUCUCAUUUGCAUAUAUAAAAAUAAUACCCAUAGGAAAGCGUGUGUAAAUAUCCUUCCCAAAGAAGCUGAAGGAACACAUCUUGAGUCAGCUGUCCUCUGCAUUGAUAGAUGUCCUUCUUUGUUUUGUGUAUCUGCUGAGAUCUCAACUAGUUUGCUAUUAGUGAUGCUCUGUAGACAGGUUAAUUUCUAUCUAGUUGGCUUAUUCAGGGACACAAAUUUCUGUAUUUUUCAUGACAAACAUAAUUAUGGCAAAACAAAUUAAGGCAAAUAGACUUGUGGUUGCCAAGGGGGAAGGGGAGGGAGUAGGAUGGAUUGGGAGCUUGGGGAUAAUAGAUGGAGACUAUUGCCUUUAGAAUGGAUUAGCAAUGAGAUCCUGCUGUGUAGCACUGGGAACUGUGUCUGGUCACUUAUGAUGGAGCAGGAUAAUGUGAGAAAAAAGAAUGUAUACAUGUAUGUGUAACUGGGUCACCAUGCUGUACAGUAGAAAAAAUAAUAAUAAUUAAUCAACACUGAUAUUAUUAUACAAUGUUUAAAUUCCCCAUAGAAAAAGCAUUAACCUUUUUACAUCUUUUAAAAAGUGGUUUAAUUUUGUCAUUAUUAAUUUCGAAUGUUUGCAUUUUCUUUUUUUAGAGCAACAGAUGCAGUUUAUUGCAUACUUAGUGUGCACUGGGAACUAUGCUAAGUGCUUUCUCUGGACGUUUUUCCAUUUAAUCUUAUGAAAUACAUAAUAUCUCUCGUAUUUUGCAGAUGAGGAAACUAAAGCUUCUAUUUCAAUUUUCCAGUUCAUAUGGGUCAAUUUCAGGAUAGCUAGUGCCACUUUUAUCUUUAAAAAAACUUUUUUUUCCGGAGUUCCCGUCGUGGCGCAGUGGUUAACGAAUCCGACUAGGAACCAUGAGGUUGCGGGUUCGGUCCCUGCCCUUGCUCAGUGGGUUAACGAUCUGGCGUUGCCGUGAGCUGUGGUGUAGGUUGCAGACGCGGCUUGGAUCCCACGUUGCUGUGGCUCUGGCGUAGGCCAGUGGCUGUGGCUCCGAUUCGACCCCUAGCCUGGGAACCUCCAUAUGCAGCGGGAGCGGCCCAAAGAAAUAG
RNAcentral lists this long non-coding RNA (2551 nucleotides) under Sus scrofa (pig). Its description in RNAcentral is "lncRNA (ENSSSCG00000052475.1)". The record is from RNAcentral. Lineage: Eukaryota; Metazoa; Chordata; Mammalia; Artiodactyla; Suidae.